GAGUUUGAUCGUGGCUCAGGACGAACGCUGGCGGCGUGCUUAACACAUGCAAGUCGAGCGAGGCCCUUCCUUCGGGAAGGUGCCCUAGCGGCGAACGGGUGAGUAACACGUGGGCAACCUGCCCCUAGCACUGGGAUAACUCCGGGAAACCGGGGCUAAUACCGGAUAUGACCUUGGAGGGCAUCCUCUUUGGUGUAAAGGAUUCUGGCUAGGGAUGGGCCCGCGGCCUAUCAGCUUGUUGGUGGGGUAACGGCCUACCAAGGCGACGACGGGUAGCCGGCCUGAGAGGGCGACCGGCCACACUGGGACUGAGACACGGCCCAGACUCCUACGGGAGGCAGCAGUGGGGAAUAUUGCACAAUGGGCGAAAGCCUGAUGCAGCGACGCCGCGUGAGGGAUGACUGCCUUCGGGUUGUAAACCUCUUCAGCAGGGGCGAAGCGAAAGUGACGGUACCUGCAGAAGAAGCACCGGCCAACUACGUGCCAGCCGCCGCAGU
This 497-nucleotide ribosomal RNA is filed under the name uncultured bacterium. Its description in RNAcentral is "bacterial SSU rRNA". It matches the Rfam family "Bacterial small subunit ribosomal RNA", at positions 9 to 521 of the family's 1533-position model. The record is from RNAcentral.